RNAcentral lists this ribosomal RNA (235 nucleotides) under uncultured bacterium. RNAcentral describes it as "partial 16S ribosomal RNA". It matches the Rfam family "Bacterial small subunit ribosomal RNA", at positions 96 to 334 of the family's 1533-position model. The record is from RNAcentral.
UGGCGGACGGGUGAGUAAUGUCUGGGAAACUGCCUGAUGGAGGGGGAUAACUACUGGAAACGGUAGCUAAUACCGCAUAACGUCGCAAGACCAAAGAGGGGGACCCUCGGGCCUCUUGCCAUCGGAUGUGCCCAGAUGGGAUUAGCUAGUAGGUGGGGUAACGGCUCACCUAGGCGACGAUCCCUAGCUGGUCUGAGAGGAUGACCAGCCACACUGGAACUGAGACACGGUCCAG